CGAGGCAGCAGAGAAGGAAGCGAAGCUCGCCUUCAGUGGGCUUCGCUCCCUACUCUGCUUCGCUCCAGUCUCAGGAAGCCCUAUUCUUGCAGGAAUAGGCCCAAGGACGCCCUAUUCUUGCAGAAAUCUUCCCGCAACAGGCCUCUAGCAUAUAUAUAUUUAAAA
Long non-coding RNA from Myotis davidii, 165 nucleotides. RefSeq lists it as uncharacterized. The transcript has 3 exons. The record is from RefSeq and is a predicted model, not a curated record. Lineage: Eukaryota; Metazoa; Chordata; Mammalia; Chiroptera; Vespertilionidae.